GGACCGUUGGCGCAACGGUAGCGCGUUGUAAGUUGACAAUUACCGAAAUAAGUAAUAUACAGAACAUCAAUUCUGACUGUCCAAUCACAGCGACUCCAGAUCGAAAGGUUGUCCGUUCAAAUCGGGCACGGUUCA
Non-coding RNA from Aspergillus alliaceus, 135 nucleotides. Lineage: Eukaryota; Fungi; Ascomycota; Eurotiomycetes; Eurotiales; Aspergillaceae. The record is from the annotation of a RefSeq genome assembly.